This 253-nucleotide ribosomal RNA is filed under the name uncultured bacterium. RNAcentral describes it as "partial 16S ribosomal RNA". It matches the Rfam family "Bacterial small subunit ribosomal RNA", at positions 524 to 776 of the family's 1533-position model. The record is from RNAcentral.
UACGUAGGGUGCAAGCGUUGUCCGGAAUUAUUGGGCGUAAAGAGCUCGUAGGCGGAUCUUUAAGUCAGGGGUGAAAUCCUGGAGCUCAACUCCAGAACUGCCUUUGAUACUGGGGAUCUCGAGUCCGGAAGAGGUGAGUGGAACUCCGAGUGUAGAGGUGAAAUUCGUAGAUAUUCGGAAGAACACCAGUGGCGAAGGCGGCUCACUGGUCCGGUACUGACGCUGAGGUGCGAAAGCGUGGGGAGCAAACAGG